This 490-nucleotide ribosomal RNA is filed under the name uncultured bacterium. RNAcentral's name for it is "partial 16S ribosomal RNA". It matches the Rfam family "Bacterial small subunit ribosomal RNA", at positions 30 to 507 of the family's 1533-position model. The record is from RNAcentral.
AUUGAACGCUGGCGGCAGGCCUAACACAUGCAAGUCGAACGGUAACAGGAAGCAGCUUGCUGCUUCGCUGACGAGUGGCGGACGGGUGAGUAAUGUCUGGGAAGCUGCCUGAUGGAGUGGGAUAACUACUGGAAACGGUAGCUAAUACCGCAUAAUGUCGCAAGAUCAAAGAGGGGGACCUUCGGGCCCCUUGCCAUCGGAUGUGCCCAGAUGGGAUUAGCUUGUUGGUGGGGUUACGGCUCACCAAGGCGACGAACCCUAGCUGGGCUGAGGGGAUGACCCGCCAGACUGGAACUGAGACACGGUCCCGACUCCUACGCGAGGCAGCAGUGGGGACUAUUGCACAAUGGGCGAAAGCCUGAUGCAGCCAUGCCGCGUGUAUGAAGAAGGACUUCGGGUUGUAAAGUACUUUCAGCGGGGAGGAAGGGAGUAACGUUAAUACCUUUGCUCAUUGACGUUACCCGCAGAAGAAGCCCCGGCUAACUCCGUG